This is a non-coding RNA of Arachis ipaensis, 2200 nucleotides long. NCBI's taxonomy places the organism in Eukaryota, Viridiplantae, Streptophyta, Magnoliopsida, Fabales, Fabaceae. The record is from RefSeq and is a predicted model, not a curated record.
UAUUUAACAUCAAGUCCGAAUCAGGCGAAGUCAACUUCACUCGACCAUGUACACCCUUACCUUACCUCCAGCUCUAAGACAUUUCUUGUGAGAUCUGCAGCGCCGUUCUGUGUUCUCACAUCCAUUGCCAUAUCUUCCAUGUAAGUUGUGAGAUUAGGUUGUGUUCGUCAUGGAAAUGGUUGUCAAUAAUUGAUCAUCCAACAACUGUGAUUUCUUUGAUUAAAGAAGAAUGGAUCCAUCGAAUUAUCUUGAUGUCUCAAGGAUUGCAUUUUGGUUCAAAUGGCACUCCAUCCAUAUUCUCUCGUGGGUCUUCUCGUUCCCUUGAUGAUGAAAUUUUAGAAGAUAUUAAGAGAGUUAUGCCUCACAUGUCUUCUCAUUCCCCUUUGAUUCAGCGGUAAGGAAAAGCCCUAGUUCUGCGGAAAAGAAAGCGAAAAAGAAGGAAAAAAGCGGAAAAACCGGCAAAAAAGAACAAAUAACUUGGUGUUAAAAAGGUUGAAGUUGUCUCUAGUACAACAGAAACAAAAAACUAUCUCUUAUUGUCGUCGCUAUUUUCUUGUUGGAAGAUGCUAUGAGGUUUAAAUGUUUUUCCCCCUUAUACUUGCAUAGAGUUGUUUCCACUUUCAUUCUUUUUUUUUCCAUAUUUUACUGUCGAACUUUACAUGAGAGCAUGAGAAAAUUUUAUAUUUGUGUUUUGAUACUAUAAUUAACUGUGAUCCUAGAUGGUAAUUGAAAUAUUCAUUUCUUAUAACAUGGUGACCUGCUCGAAGUUCAUUUAUAUUUGGGACUAAUGGUAAACACAUGACAAGAACAUGAUAACAAAAUCCUAUGAUGAAAUAGAUGUUUUGUUAUGCAAGAUUUCUAUAUUAGAAAGUUAAGUUAGAAAUUCUGUAAAAUUUCCUCAUUUCCAGUAUUUCUUUUAUGUGACAUGAAUUGACAUGAACCCUUGUAAAUUUGUGCAGUAGCAUGACUGUGUCAUUGUUUUAUAGGGUGACAAGUGCCAUUUUUCACAUGAUUCAGUGCCUUUUACCAAAUCAAAGCCAUGCUCCUUUUUCCCUCGUCACUCCUGCAUGAAAGGGGAUGACUGCCCUUUUAAUCAUCAACUCUCCAAGUUUCCUUGUGUUAACUUUGUGUCCGGAGGUUUUUGUGUCAGAGGUGAUGCAUGCUUGUUUCCUAACUGCUGUUGAACGAUAUUGAUUUUGAAAUUGCAGCCAUGCUCCUUUUUCGUUCGUCACUCCUGCAUGAAAGGGGAUGACUGCCCUUUUGAUCAUCAACUCUCCAAGUAUCCUUGUGUUAGCUUUGUGUCCGGAGGUUUUUGUGUUAGAGGUGAAUGUAUGCUUGUUUUCGCACCAGGUACCACAUCCACCCUAUAUCUCUUCCUGUGCUUGUGAUUUCAAUCCAAAUACAAAGGUUUUUGUUAGCAUAUAUAAUUAGGAUAAUUAGGUUGUGCAUUAUGUGUUAGCUUUGAGGAAAAUUUCCCUAAGGGCAGCAGGUAUACAGACGCAAGAGGUUCAGGGACAGUUUUGUAAUUAAGCAGAAUCAGGAAGUAGGAGAAUUGAGUGCCCUGUUUCCCUUUGCUUGUUUCUAUUUCUCCUCUAUCUUCUCUUCAACUGUGAUUUGAGAUUCUAGACUCAUCAGUCUGGAUGAUACUAUGUAAUUUAGCCUCUCCUAUGUAGUUGAAAGUUGAAACACGCAUUUUAAAAGCCUUUCUCGUUUUUGAAUCUCAAUAGUUAUCAAUCGGUAUUUCCAGAUGCAUGUAUGUGUAUUAUUAUAAUUUUAAUUAUUCUCACUUAAAAUGGGCUUUAUUGAUCCGGUCACCAGCCAAAAGAAGAUUUUGCUACACCUUCAAGGGUUCACAACCUAGGAAUGAAAUCUCCACACUUUUUAGGAAACACAAAUUCCAACAUGCCACCUAACAUUCAUGGCUGUGGUUCUAUCCAACAAAACCAUUUGAUCAUUCCUCCAAGAGUUCAUCUUGACAUCAAUUCGGAACAUAAAGCAACAAACAUGGUACAGAAACAGCUUAAGCUUGCAUCUAAAGGAGUUAGCUCCGUUGAUGUUGCAAAGCUAUCGUUGCCUUCUCCUACUACGCCAAAGGAAGGCACGACCAAAGUUGGCUCAUCCUCUUCUGACCAAAGUACAUAGUACAUCUGGAACAAAUCAAACUUUGGUGGAAAUUCCAAAGAAAUUGCCAGCUAGGAUU